UCCCCGGAUGAGGACGACAAUGG
This 23-nucleotide non-coding RNA is filed under the name Cricetulus griseus (Chinese hamster). Lineage: Eukaryota; Metazoa; Chordata; Mammalia; Rodentia; Cricetidae. The record is from RNAcentral.